GACAGAGCACCUCCCACAACGGAUCGUCCGGCACGUACCUGCCGGUGGAAGGAACACCCU
Non-coding RNA from Angustibacter sp. Root456, 60 nucleotides. Lineage: Bacteria; Bacillati; Actinomycetota; Actinomycetes; Kineosporiales; Kineosporiaceae. The record is from Rfam.